AGUAAUGAAGUGUGCUGUGAGUCCCACAGGAGACAGGCUGUACAUCACCAGCUGGUACCAGGACAAGCUUCUCACCCUGGCCAGGGAUGGCACACUCCUGGCUACAUACACAGACCCAGCACUAAGUGGCCCACGUGGUCUACAUGUGACCCCUGCAGGCCAGGUGCUGGUCUGUGGACGCUGGUCCGACACUGUACUACAGGUGGGCUGGGAGGGGCAGAGUAAGCUGGCUAAUCUUGCUACUGAGGAGGAUGGAGUGUGGGAGCCACGGUCAGUCUGCUACAGCAGCACAACAUCGUCCAUCAUUGUGGGACAAUAUGAUGACAACAUCCUGGUGUUCAGAGUGGAAUAGUGUGUACAUUGCUGCAGGACAACGAUGCUGAGGAUGUGGUGGACAAGAAUGACCUGAAUACGCAGAAGGACAGCACCACCAUUGAUAUUGAGUUGGCCCAGCAACAGCACCAGUCCGGACUGCAGGAGCCCCAGUCCAGGACGACCCAUCCACUCCCCUGACCCAUAGCUCAUCAUACUUGAUAUCCGGAAAAUGGGGCCUAAUGCAUGUGCUUAAAUUGUUGUCACAGAUUAGCCUGUGCAGUUUGCACAGGCUAAUAAUGGACAACACUUUCCUCUUAAAGCAGAGCACCAGCAUUGAUAUCGAGUUGGCCCAGCAACCGCACCAGUCCCGCCUGCAGAAGCCCCAGUCCAGAACGACCCUUCCCCUCCCUUGACUUCUAACUCCUCCUCUUGACCGCCUGCCUCAAAAAGUCAGCAUCGUUGAACAACUCCGUUCUGCAGGAAAUUCUGAGCAUGAUUCUGUUCUGAACAAACGCAAUGCCCACGUCACGUUUUCCAAACAUAAGCCUGGGUAGUUUUGUUAAGCUAGAGUUCCGCGUGGGCCUGAAAGGGACAAGUGUUACAGACACAAACAGUUAUAGCAGUAGUUAUGGUAACGCUAACAGUCAGUUGUUGCUGUUGGACAUCACAACAAAUAUCAUGAAGAAUAAAAAUUUCAAUAAGUUGUUCCAAUUUUUAUGGGACAAUUGUAACAGAAAUUGAACGGAAGAAAAUCAAGGAACAAUAAAAGCGUAAGCUUUCCUAGUGGAAUACAUCUGCUGUUGAUAGUUUGAACAACAGUAGGGUUACGGACUGCCCCAGAUUGUCCUCUCAGCAAUAAUGACUUGGUUGUGAAUAACCUGAGCACGAUACAUCCAUGCUGACAAAGGCAGUAAUGACUUGGUUGUGAACACCCAGAGCGGGAUACAUCCAUGCUGACACAGUUAGGCAGUAAUGACUUGGUUGUGAACACCCAGAGCACAAUACAUCCGUGCUGACACAGAAAGGCAGUAAUGACUUGGUUGUGAACACCCAGAGCACGAUACAUCCAUGCUGACACAGAAAGGCAGUGUGACUUGGCUGUGAACACAGAACACAAUACACCCAUGCUGACACAGAAAGGCAGUAAUGAGUUGGUUGUGAACACCCAGAGCAAGAUAUUUCCAUGCUGACACAGAAAGGCAGUAAUGACUAUGCUGUGAACACCUUGAGCAAGACAUAUCCUUGCUAACACAGAAAGGCAGUAAUGACUAUGCUGUGAACAGCCGGAGAAUAAUACAUCCAUGCUUACACAGAAAGGCAGUAAUGACUUGGUUGUGAACACCCAGGGCAAGAUAUAUCCAUGCUGACACAGAAAGGCAGUAAUGACUAUGCUGUGAACACCCAGAGCAAGAUAUAUCCAUGCUGACACAGAAAGGAAGUAAUGACUUGGUUGUGAACACCCAGAGCACAAUACAUCCAUGCUGACACAGAAAGGCAGUAAUGACUUGGCUGUGAACACAGAACACGAUACACACAUGCUGACACAGAAAGGCAGUAAUGACUUGGCUGUGAAAACAGAGCACAAUACAUCCAUGCUGAAACAUAAUGGCAGUCAUGACUAUGCUGUGAACACCCAGAGCAUGAUAUAUCUAUGCUGACACAGAAAGGCAGUAAUGACUAUGCUUUGAACACCCAGAGCAAGAUAUGUCCAUGCUGACACAGAAAGGCAGUAAUGACUAUGCUGUGAAAACCCACAGAAAGAUAUAUCCAUGCUGACACAGAAAGGCAGUAAUGACUAUGCAGUGAACACCCAGAGCAAGAUAUAUCCAUGCUGACACAGAAAGGCAGUAAUGACUUGGUUUUGAACAACCAGAGCACGAUAUAUCCAUGCUGACACAGAAAGGCAGUAAUGACUUGGCUGUGAACACAGAACACGAUACACCCAUGCUGACAUAGAAAAGGCAGUAAUGACUUGGCAGUGAACACAGAACACGAUACACCCAUGCUGACACAGAAAGGCAGUAAUGACUUUGCUGUGAACACAGAGAACAAUACAUCCAUGCUGACACAGAAAGGCAGUAAUGACUUGGCAGUGAGCACAGAACACCAUACAUCCAUGCUGAUACAGAAAGGCAGUAAUGACUUGGCUGUGAACACAGAGCACAAUACAUCCAUGCUGUCACAGAAAGGCAGUUAUGACUCGGUUGUGAACACAGAGCACAAUACAUCCUUGUUGACACAGAAAGGCAGUAAUGACUUAGCUGUGAACACAGAGCACAAUACAUCCAUGCUGACACAGAAAGGCAGUUAUGACUUGGUUGUGAACACAGAGCACAAUACAUCCUUGUUGACACAGAAAGGCAGUUAUGACUUUGCUGUGAACUCAGAGCACGAUACAUCCAUGCUGACACAGAAAGGCAGUAAUGACUAUGCUGUGAACACCCAGAGCACAAUACAUCCAUGCUGAAACAGAAAGGCAGUCAUGACUAUGCAGUGAACACCCAGAGCAAGAUAUAUCUAUGCUGACACAGAAAGGAAGUAAUGACUAUGCUGUGAACACCCAGAGCAAGAUAUAUCCAUGCUGACACAGAAAGGCAGUAAUGACUAUGCUGUGAACACCCAGAGUACAAUACAUCCAUGCUGAAACAGAAAGGCAGUAAUGACUUGGUUGUGAACACAGAGCACAAUACAUCCUUGUUGACACAGAAAGGCAGUAAUGACUUUGCUGUGAACUCAGAGCACGAUACAUCCAUGAUUACACAGAAAGGCAGUAAAGACUUGGUUGUAAACACCCAGAGCACAAUACAUCCAUGCUGACACAGAAAGGCAGUAAAGACUUGGUUGUAAACACCCAGAGCACAAUACAUCCAUGCUGACACAGAAAGGCAAUAAAGACUUGGUUGUAAACACCCAGAGCACAAUACAUCCAUGCUGACACAGAAAGGCAGAAAAGACUUUGUUGUAAACACUAAGAUAUCCAUACAUCCAUGGGGUGUGCUACAGACGCAAAUUACGCCCACCAUUUUGAACAAGGUGCUUAAAGUGAACACAUCUGGUUUCUGUUAUGAACACUUAGCACUCCGAGUCCAAAAGGCCUCACAUUGAAUUGAUGCAAGAGAAGGCUUUGAAAAAUAACAGCAGUUUUGUUGUGUGGUCCAGUACACCCUUCGACUAGCAAACUGAAAAAAGCAGAACUCAAACUCGUCUCUUAGCAAUAUCAGCAAGGCCAGCAUGUCAUAUCAGCUUCUUGAGCUUCAGUGAGCUUUACUAGCAAACAUGACAAACGUCAUUGAAGUGAAAGUCGAUGACAAAUCGACUUCUUGCACAAAUACUACAACUCCCUUAAGAAAUUCAGCACGAAGACAUCUUGCGUCAGACUACCAAGCCUCCUAUCAAUAUCUCCUACCAUAUUGGGUACAUCAAUACUUCCAAAAGCAGAGCCUCGGUGAGUUCGACUUCCGUCUCAGCAUCGAUGUCGCUUAGCAACAAUUGGAUGAUGGGCGUCGACAAAUAAGCCGGAUAAGUCGCUCUAACUGAAACAAUUUGAUCCAACAGGUAGAGCAGGCGUUGCGUGACACGUCCGUUAAUGUGACUGACCUCGAUAUGUUGUUCUCGAAUAAUGUGAACCUUAGGCCUGGAGAGCAGUAUGCGAUUGAUGCCAUUCAACAAAAGUUGUUCUUGGCAAUUCUCAGGUUUGGGGUGGCGACUUCAGCGUCAGGACUUGCUCCAUCUCUGUCUAUUGCCCAGUCGCAGCAGCAGCAGCAGCAGCAACAAGAACAAUAAGUAGUAUCUUAGCGGUGUUCUGGGAUAUGGGGCUUCAUGUAUGUGCUUAAAUUGUCAUCCCAGAUUAGCCUGUGCAGACUGCACCUACAUAAAGUCCUAUUAAAUUGUCAUCCCAGAUUAGCCUGUGCAGACUGCACAUACAUAAAGUUCUAUUAAAUUGUCAUCCCAGAUUAGCCUGUGCAGACUGCACAUACAUUAAGUCCUAUUAUAGUGUCAUUCCAGAUUAGCCUGUGCAGACUGCACAUACAUUAAGUCCUUUUAAAGUGUCAUCCCAGAUUAGCCUUUGCAGACUGCACAUACAAUAAGUCCUAUUAAAUUGUCAUCCCAGAUUAGCCUGUGCAGACUACACAUACAUUUAGUCCUAUUAAAGCGUCAUCCCAGAUUAGCCUGUGCAGACUGCACAUACAGUGACAUCCCAGAUUAGCAUGUGCAGACUGCACAUACAUUAAGUCCUAUUAAAGUGUCAUCCCAUAUUAGCCUGUGCAGACUGCACCUAUUAAAGUGUCAUCCCAGAUUAGCCUGUGCAGACUACACAUACAUUAAGUCCUAUUAAAGUGUCACCCCAGAUUAGCCUGUGCAGACUGCACAUACAUUAAGUCCUAUUAAAAUGUCAUCCCAUAUUAGCCUGUGUAGACUGCACAUACAUUAAGCCCUAUUUUCCCAGAAUGAGGCUCAUAUACUACACUUAACAUCAGUAUUUUAUGUGACUGAAAAGUUCCUAGCAUCAAAUGGGAAUUAUGUGCUUUUAAAUUGAUCACACUUAGUAAAUAAAAUGCAAAUAGCACUUGAUCUGAUAUCAAUUUUAAUCAUAGAAGGUCAGGGCAUUAAGUUUUGUAUAUUUUUGACCGAAAUUCAGCUCCUGAACCAAAUGUUUAUCCUUGCAUAAAAAUCUGCUUUAAUAGAAUUGUUAAAUUAUAUUUAAUUUUAGUAAAAUAAUUAUGUAAAAGCCUGCAGCUUCAGCUUAUUUUCUUCAUUUAUUUUCAAUGUUUAUUUAAAUUCCUGGAUUUUGUUUUAAGAGCCUGUUCCUACAGGAACCCAUGCAAUCAUAGAUCGGUACCUAGCUGAACAACAGGCUGUCUGGUCAGCUGGGCCCAGACGCCCAGUGACACUUCCUGGCCCAGGACCUUGGGGGAAAUGCUCAACAGUCCUACCUGCAGGGUAGAGCCACACUGAACCUGGGGCUCCAUACUUUCUUGGCCAUGGGCCAAGAUAUCCUCAUCAAUAAGGGACACAUUCCUGGGAUUCCCUAAGGUCUUUCUAUCUGUUCACAGAGGUCUUAUACUCACAAGUUCAAGCCCAGUGAGCGAUGUUCACAUUAUCAAACUCUGCAUCUCAAUAGAGACCCGGAUAGCAAAGCGUUGGUUUGUUUUUGAAGCAUUUGAACCAGCAACAGUCAUCAUUGGAGUUUCUGACAUGUCUAUGGUGCGGAACCCUCAGUCUAUGAACAUCAUAACAGCACAUGAACCAGCAGCAGUCAUCAUCUCAAGAUUCUGGUAUAUCCAAGAUGCAAUUUGAGGAAAUCAAACCAUCCAAUCAGAAACACAGCCUGUUGCAGCAAUUGUUAACAUAUUGACCCCAGUCAAACCUAAGAAGCUCAGAGUUACAUACUGUUUUAAAUGUGCUAGUCUUCACAUACCUCCUGGUUUGUUCAACACUUACUCUAAAUCUUUUAAUGUUACGACGGGUGAAAAUGAAUGACCUUGUUCAGAUCGAAAUUGCAAAAUGACACAUCACAACCAUUCAAGUGGAAAGCCACAAAGUCAUGUCAACAGCCACAUGUUGUAUGUUGCCAGCCAAGUUGUAUUAAAAAACACAAUAGCUUACGUUUUAUGUUAUAUGUGACCAACCGUGUAAUAUUCAUACAAAAACAAUAGUUUAUGUUUUAGGGGAAUUGUUAUGCUGUCAGUCUUUAUGUUGAAAUAUUGUGUUCAAUAUAGCAUGUUAAGUAUUUUAAAAGCAUGCAUAUUGCACGUAUAUGCAAUCUCUUUGUCUAUAUUAUGAUAUCACUACAUAUUGUGAUCCUGUUAAUGGUAAACUAAUGGGAAAUACACUUUUAUUAAAGACUUUCAAAGUGUGACAAAGCUGUUUUAAUGAGGUUGGUAACUUGGACAACAUUAAAAAAAUAUUGGAGUAGUUUCAUGUUAUAAAACAUGUUUCAGUUUUCGGUUUUUUACCGGUUUUAUAUAUAAGCUAGAUAAAAGUAGUGUAAAGAAAGGUUAAGAAGUUUUACGCUUCAGCUUUUUCUGUUUAUCAAUCUUUCUAAAAAAAUACUAGUAAAUUUGCUCAUUCGGGUCGGUAUUCGACAAAGAAUCUUGUUUAAUAGCAAUCGUGGAAAUCUGAAUAAAUUAUGUGCACACUUAUGUAAUGUACCUAAAAGUAUUGAUUCUGUAUUUACUACCAGUACUUUGUUGAUUUCAAUGGAUAUUGUUUGUUAAAUAGUCGAGAAUGGCUCUUGCAUUUUUGGGAAUACUUUAAGGCAAACUGAAAAUUUAAAAAAUAAUAAUUUUUUAGAGUUUUAUGAAAAAUGGCAAAAGUUAUAAAUGUUAAUUUAUGUUGUUAGAUCAUAGACUUAGAUGCUCAUAAGUGUUUAAAUUUAUUUUCGGACAUAAUAGUUUAUAAUGCUUUAUAUUUGUAUAUGCAUAUGAAGACGACCAAAAUGUAUCCUCUUUCAUCACUGAGUAUCUUAAUCAAUAUCUCUUGCAGUCUUGGUCACUGCAUACAUUGUAGAGGUAUAUUUUGACAUUUAUACACAGAGCAACUGUGAAACAAUAGUAUUUUAAAUGUACAUUAUUUAUUUAUUGUUGCAAUUUUUAUAAGAUAAACUCACUGUUUACAUUAAUUUGUACAAACCAUAGUCAUAAAAAUAUUGAUUGUGUGAAUCCUCAUAUAUGUAUUAAACUGUUAAAAUAAUGCACAGUAACAGAUUCGGAAGAGAAAACUAUACUCAAUGAAAUAUAAACACCUUGUUAUAUCAACUGCUUUUAAUUAAGAACAACUACUUAAAAUAAGUUUAAUUUUGUUUUACAUUAUCUAAAGAAAAUUUAGUACCUUGUUAUUUGAAAUCAGUCAUUCACAAAUUAAGGAAGAGUGUUGUCAUAUGCUAACAAUUGUCAACUAGAAAUGGCGCGGCAGAGGCCGACGCGUAUCCCCACGCCGAAUGUUUGACCUAGGUGUGCCCCAGGGUUGGUAAUGGGGCCAUGCAUAGCUGAGAUUGACCGUAUUGUCAUAAGAGAAGUUCAUCAUCAAUUAGAAAUGAAUUGGUGUAGAAAUGAAGAAGUUAUAGUAAAAGGCAAUUUUGGGUGGGUGUGACAUAUGUGGGCAGGGCGCCCCAGGGUUGGUAAUUGUGCCAUGCAUAGUUGAGAUUGACCGUAUUGUCAUAAGAGAAGUUCAGUAUCAAUUUGAAGUGAAUCGGUGUAGAAAAGAAGAAAUUAUAGUAAAAGGCAAUUUUGGGUGGGUGUGGUCUAUGUGGGCGGGGCCCCAGGGUUGGUAAUGGGGCCAUGCAUAGUUGAGAUUGCCGUAUUGUCAUAAGAGAGGUUCAGUAUCAAUUUGAAGUGAAUCGGUGUAGAAAUGAAGAAAUUAUAGUAAAAGGCAAUUUUGGGUGGGUGUGGUCUAUGUGGGCGGGGCGCCCCAGGGUUGGUAAUGGGGCCAUGCAUAGUUGAGAUUGACUGUAUUGUCAUAAGAGAAGUUCAAUAUCAAUUUGAAGUGAAUCGGUGUAGAAAUGAAGAAAUUAUAGUAAAGGCAAUUUUGGGUGGGUGUGGUCUAUGUGGGCGGGGCCCCAGGGUUGGUUAUGGGGCCAUGCAUAGUUGAGAUUGACCCUAAUGUCAUAAGAGAAGUUCAGUAUCAAUUGAAGUGAAUCCGUGUAGAAAUGAAAAAAUUAUAGUAAAUGGAAUUUUUUGGUGGGUGUGGCCUAUGUGGGCGGGCGCCCCAGGGUUGGGAUUGGGGCCAUGCAUAGUUGAGAUUGACCAUAAUGUCAUAACAAAAGUUCAGUAUCAAUUUGAAGUGAAUCCGUGUAGAAAUGAAAAAAUUAUAGUUAAUGGAAAUUUUUGGUGGGUGUGGCCUAUGUGGGCGGGGCGCCCCAGGGUUGGGAAUGGGGCCAUGCAUGGUUGAGAUUGACCGUAUUGUCAUAAGAGAGGUCCUGUAUCAAUUUGAAGUGAAUCGGUGUAGAAAUAAAGAAGUAAAUAUAAAAUAACCUAAAAAAAUGAGUGAUAAUUUCUGAUGCAGCCCCACCCCAACCGCUAUAACUUUUGACCCAGGGGUCAGAUCAAAAUUCCAAAUAGUGCAGGGUCGCACAUAUGCUCAUAGCUACCAUGUGUGUAAGUUUCAAGGUUCUAGUGCUUUUAGUGUAGGAGGAGAUAGUGGCCAGGACGGACGGACAGACAGACAGACAGACAGACGGACGGACGGACGGCGGAGAUAACCACAAUAUCCCCACCUUUUUUUAAAAAAGCGUGGGGAUAAAAAAUGCAAUUGUCUCUAUUUGUUAAGGUAGAGAGCAAUAGUAUUUGCUUAACAAAAUAAAAACAAAGAUGUCGUCUUUGUAAGUGUAUGUGGAAUAAACACUUAUGUUUGUGCUUAAAUUAAACGUGAAUGUAUUGACGUAUUGCUGAUAAUAAAGUUUGACUUUUUAUUAGUUUUGUAACAAUGUGUUUGACCUUUUAUGUUAACAUUCCCACAAUUGAUGUCAGUGCAGUGCCUUCAAUGGAGCCAUUUUCUGUAAAUCUUCCACUGUUAAAGUUAAGCAAAUGUUUUAAGACCAGAUUUCCUUAAACUUGAAGUUGUUUAUAUUUAACAUUUUUUGAAUGCAUGAAACAUGUUUGUUACGUUGUAGAAUAGCUGAAAAUAGCUGAAAAUAGCUUGAUGUUUGUAAAUUGUGUGACAUGUUGAUCAAAUUGAUACAUAGAGACCAACACUCAUUAUGCGUUAAUUUCUAUGUUUAGCUAAACAAAAAAUGUUACCAAACACAAAUAUAAGAUAUAUUCGUAAAACAGUUUCAAAUGCAAUUUGAAAUAUAAUGUUUAAAUAUGUUUGUCGACUCCAAAUAAGCAUUUUGAAUAAGCAAAUCAAUACAUUAAUAAUAUCUAUGGAAAGUACACGUAGGCACUUUUCAAUCGCUUGUGUACUUCAUAUUGAUCAGGGUCUUUCUAAAUUCAUGCAUGAUUUUUUAUGCCUAUGUCUGAAUUGUGUAAAUAUCUGUUAUAUAACUGUGAAAAAAGGAUUUUUAUAUUAAAAGUUAAAAUAGUGUAUAAACUGUAACCGGGCAUCUGUUGCAUUUAUUUUUACGUGUUUAUAUUUUCUGGCCUACUGAGCUUAAGUUUGUCUAUAAUCGUGCGUACUUUUAUUGUCGUUUUCGUAUUAAGACAAAGCUCACUACACUUAUGCUGUUGUUUUUGUCCACCAUUUCUAUACAAAUUGUUGUAUGUAAAUAAUUUAACAUGUCGAUGUUGGUAAUAAUGUAUUUCCUAAUCUAAUAUUGAUGAUGCACUCAAUAAAGUACAUAACCAUUUA
This is a long non-coding RNA of Dreissena polymorpha, 9603 nucleotides long. RefSeq lists it as uncharacterized. NCBI's taxonomy places the organism in Eukaryota, Metazoa, Mollusca, Bivalvia, Myida, Dreissenidae. The record is from RefSeq and is a predicted model, not a curated record. The transcript has 8 exons.